ACUCAUGAUCUGUAUGUUUCACAGAGGAAUCUGGAAAAUUUUAUUUCUUUCUUUCCAGCUCUCUAAAAGUUCUGCCUCCACUUUUGCUUCUCCAUUUCCCACUUCUCUUGGCAUUUUAUUUUGCAGAGCUAGUUAGCUUAAGACUAAGGGUGCAGAUCUAGCUAUGUGGAAUGAACUCAUUAUAUGAAAUAAACUCUAAACUAGGGGUGAAAUUGCCUGGAUUUUAGUUCUUGCUCUACCCAAAAUAGCUUUAUGAUCUUAAGCUGUCCCUUUACCUUUUCUGUAUUUUCCUUUCCUCACUUCUAAAAUCAAGCAUGCUAGGUAAUCUCUAAGUUCCCUCUUUGCUACAGGAUUUUUAUAAAGCUGUAUAAUCCUGAACCCACUUAAGGGACUCUUAAAACUUGCCCAAAUGAAGUCUAUUCAAACAGACCUGAAUUUGAUAUGGGUGAAAAUCAUCAACUAUCUGGGCUAUCAAAGCAAUGGCCUUUGUCUUAGCAAAACAGCCUAAUGGGUCAUCUCCUCUGAGGGUCCUUUACGUUAAACAGGUUCAAAAAUUAUAGAGAAGAAAAGAAAAUAGCUUGCAUAGUCUUUUUUCAUCUAGAUCAACUGUUUCUUGCAGAAAAAGAGAAAUGACUUUCUUUUCUUUACAAUAAUUUCUACACCUCAAGCUGUAUUUUAACACAAACCUCUAGGCUCCUGGUGGAGGAAACAUAUACGGCAGUAUAUUGGAGGAGUUUAAAUGUCAGAUAUAUUCAAUGCUUUCUAAGCAAUAGCUUCAGUAUAAGUGGGGAAAAAAAAGACAGCCAGGGACUGAAUUUGGGGCAAAGAUUAAAGGCUAUUUGUGUGAAGAAGGGGAAAAAUGAUGACAUGAUGGGUUGGGAAACAAAAAUAAUCUGAAAGUAUAGAUGUUUAAAUUUCAAUGACAUAAAUUUCAAGCUAUUCUUGACACAUUCUUUAAGGUCUUUAUUUGUAAUUCUACUUCAAGAGAAAGGGAUUAAAAGUAUUCAAUUUUGGUUUGUGAGGAGACAUUGCUAAAAUUCCAUUUCUGAAUAAGGAAUGAGUAUACUAAGUACAGAUAUUUGGGCCCUGAAUACUGUAAAGAAGUCUUUGAAAAUGUGUUCGUGGGCCAUGUUGGUCAGUGACAUAUUGAAGACUAUAUUUUGCAGGUGUUAUUUCAAGAGUUCUGUCACCCCUGUUUAAACCCAUUUAGAAUGAAGAACAGAGAAAUUAAAUUCAAAAGCUAGUCUUUUGUUUUAGUAAUUUAUGUAGCCUAAUAAAGGAGUUCUUACAAGUGAAUUUUUAAAGCUUUUUGCAGAAAAAAAUAUAGAGAUUCUUCAAUUUGGAGAGAGAGACACAGAGAGAGAGAGAGUCGGCAGGGAGGACUGUUGCAGAGAAGAGAUGACAAAUGGCAGAAAGUGCUUGUGCAUGUCUUUAUCUGGGUGAAAGACUUAUGUUUAAGCAGCAGUGUGCUUGUUACCAAGAAGCCUCUGAAAGGCAUGGCAACAUGUGCCUUGACAACAUACUCACUGAUGGCAGCAGCAGCCCAUCUGGAGUGGCCCCUGAAAAGAUGCCAGGAGAAAUUCAAGCCAGCUGCAGAAAUUUGCUUGAGUAGCAAGGAGCCCAAUGUUAAUCCUCAAGACCAUAGGGAAAAUGUCUCCAGGCCAUGUCAGAGACCUUCAUGGCAGCCCCUCCCACCAUAGGCCCAGAGGCCCAGGAGGAAAAAGUGGUUUCAUGGGCCAGGUCCAGGGUCCUUGUGCUGUGUGCAGCCUUAGGACUUGGUGCCCUGUGUCCCAGCCAUUCCAGCCGUGGCUGAAGGGGCCAAUGUAGAGCUCAGGCCAUGGCUUCAGAGGGUGGAAGCCCCAAACCUUGACAGCUUCCACGUGGUGUUGAGCCUUAGGUUGCACAGAAGUCAAGAAUUGAGGUUUGGGAAACUCCAACUGGAUUUCAGAAAAUGUAUGGAUGCCCAGGCAAAAGUUUGCUGCAGGGGCAGGGCCCUCAUGGAGAACCUUUGCUAGAGCAAACUGGAAGGAAGGAAAAUGUGGGUUUGGAGCCCCCACACAGAGUUCCUAGUGGGCACUGCCUAGUGCAGCUAUGAGAAGAGGGCCACCAUCUUUCAGACCCCAGAAUGGUAGAUCCACUGACAGCUUGCACUGUGUUGCUGGAAAAGCUGCAGACACUCAAUGCCAGCCUGUGAAAGCAGCUGGGUGAGGGCUGAAUCCUACAAAGCCAUAGGGGCAGAGCUGCCCAAGACCAUGGGAACCCAUCUCUUGCAUCAGUGUGAUGUGGCUGUGAGACCUGGAGUCAAAGGAGAUCAUUUUGGAGCUUUAAAAUUUGACUGCCUCACUGAACUUCAGACUUGCAUGGGCCCUAUAACCCCUUUGUUUUGGCCUAUCUCUCUUUCGGAAUGGCUGUAUUUACCCAAUACCUGUACUUCCAUUGUAUCUAGGAAGUAACUAGCUUUCUUUUGAUUUUACAGGCUCAUAGGUAGAAGGGACUUGCCUUGUCUCAGAUGAGACUUUUGACUGGAUUUUUGGGUUAAUGCUGAAAUGAGUUAAGAUUUUGGGGGACUGUUGGGAAGGCAUGAUUAGUUUUGAAAAGUGAGGACACGAGAUUUGGAGGGGCCAGGGGCAGAAUGAUGUGGUUUGGCUGUGUCCCCACCCAAAUCUCAACUUGAAUUUUAUCUCCCAGAAUUCCCACAUGUUGUGGGAGGGGUCCAGGGGGAGGUAAUUGAAUCAUGGGGGCCAGGCCUUCCCAUGCUAUUCUUGUGAUAGUGAAUAAGUCUCACGAGAUCUAAUGGGUUUAUCAGGGGUUUCCGCUUUUGCUUCUUCCUCAUUUUUCUCUUGCCACCACCAUAUAAAAAGUGCCUUUCACCUCCUGCCAUGAUUCUGACACCUCCCCAGCCAUGUGGAACUGUAAGUGCAAUUAAACCUCUUUUGGUUCCCAGUUUUGAGUGUGUCUUUAUCAGCAGUGUGAAAAUGAACUAAUAUACCAAGCUAUCACAUCACUGAGUGUGAUGGGCCAUCAGCACUGCUGUGAUGUCCUGCAAAAGUGGAAUUAUUUCUUGACUUGACCUCACUCUUAUGUACUUGAGAAGCUGAGUUCUCUUCUCGCAUGUUCUAAUAAACAAGUCUUAUAAGUCUGGCUCUGGUUAGCCCACAUGUUGAACCUCUUACUUGCAACCCCACUGAUGUGUCUCCCCUAUGCCUGGACAUAAGAGCCUCUCAAUCUCACAUUCAUCCAACAGCAUCUCUAGGUGUAUACUCACUUGUAGCCAAAGUAAAUUUUACACCAUGAUAAAAAUUAGUGUAAAGACUUUACAGGGAACCAAAGUGCCUGGGAAUUCUGAUGAGUAACUACUGAGUGGUUUUUUUUAAUCUCUUUAUUCAAUAGACGUAAAAGUUUAACAAUUGAAGAUUUUAGGUGCCUCGCUUUUACAUUAUGAUUUUUAACUAGUGCAUGCACAAAUAUGCUUUGGCACACAAUACCCUUUCCAGAGCCAUCAAGAUUUAAGUCAUAUUUUUAAGGACAGUGUUAAAAUGUUUACAGGUUUAUGACCCAUAAGUAUCUGGUUUAACUACUCUGUGCUGCAACCAUUUUUAUAAUUAUUUUCUCUUUCACAACUUUUACAGUAAUUUUAUAUUCAUCCUUGGAGAUGCCACAUUGUGUUUUCUUUUGGCUUACUAAGUGGACAUCACAAUCGGUUAAAAAUUUGCCAUUUGUGUGUAUCAGGGCAUAGAAGGUGGAGGAUAAUAGUGGGGGUUGUAAAUGUAUUGGAUAAAUUAUAUGGUACAAUAUGUUAGUGUUCAUUUAUAUCCAUCUAAUAUGAGCUUAUAUGUCACCCAAAGGUAGCCCCAGUUAGGCUGUGAAUACUGUGGCCCAGUAUCAAAGUGAUCGUAAGUUAUUCCUAGAAGAGCGUGUCCCUGCCAAACACAUAUCAGGGCUUCACAGUUUUGACCUUAUUUCAUGUGGUCCCUCUUGCAGCUAGAGUCUGGCACAGAAGGCAGGACUUCCAGCUGGUACUUUAGGUACAUUGGGGCACUAGAGAUAAUGAAUGCACUUGACAUUUACAGUUGGGUCUAAAUUCACAACUGUGUCAGAUAACAAGAGCUGGAUUAACGAGUGGCCAGUAUGCAGAGAUACAGACCAUCUCAAUGGAGACCUCCCUGGAGUAUCAAGACUUACAAAGAGAGAUGAACACAUUGGAAGCCAAGAAUGGUUUAUGGAUUAUAUUUGCUAAAUGUGUGCAAUCCUCAACAGGAAAACCACAGCCAGAAAUUUCCAUCUGAAAGAGAUCAGGAUAUCGUUUCACCCACCAGGUGUACAGAUGAGCAGAAGUAAGACCCACAGAGAUUGUGACUUGUUUGGACAAUCAAUAUCAGAACCAAAAUCUUCUGAUUAAACAGCAAUGCACCUUUUUAACACUUUUUUUCUUCCUAUGCAAACAGAUACAAAAAUGCCUCUUCUCCUUUCCAAUAUAUAUUCUAACUUUCAGUUUGUCCAGUCAAUUCUAAGUUUGUCAAACAGCUUUAAUUACUUUCAAAUACUUGAGGUUUGUCCUGAUACAAAUCAUAUUUAUGAAGAACAUUUUUUAAACUUUACAGAGCUGUUAUAUUUAAGGGAGAGCUAACACAUAUGUUUCUGAUUCAUUACAAUUAACUCAAACUUUUAUUUGCAAUACUUAUUUGAUGCUUAAAUACAUCAUUUUGGCUUCAGUACAGUUUCUCCUAAAAGUAGAUGCCAUUGUUCAUUAAAAUUAAAUUUACCACUAAAAAUCAUCAUUUAGGGCUCAAAACUUCAUAACAUUCUAUUAGAUUUCAAGCUUAACAAAAUUGUUCAUUUUUACUAAAACAAACUUUUCCUCCUUUUACAUUUAUUUUCAACUCCCUAUUUGCUUAUAGAUAAAGCUAUUUCCUUUUACAUUUUCUAAGAAUCCUUUAGACUUUGUAUAUCACAGUUAUUUAAAUGGCUUUUGUUGUCAAAAAGGAAAGAAGAAGGAGGAAAAAAUUUGCUGAUUUUUUUCUAAAAAAUAAUAACAAGCCUUUAAAUGAAUACCUCUUUUCACCGUUCAGACAUGACUGAACUUGGCAUUAAACCUGUUCUUAAUUCAACCCAUCUGUUCAGUGCCCACUACUUUAUUUUUAGUGCCACCCUUUAAAACUGCCUGAAAUACUUCAUAGUAAAAAUUAUCAAAGAACAUGCCACUCUCAACAUAACAAACACAUAUAUGUUCACCAAUGAACCACCCUUUCUGACAUGGUGGUAUUUAUCUCAUGUCUCUCUAAUACCAAAUACAUCUUUUGAAAAAAAUUCUCAACUUAGGCAGUUUAAACCACUAAUCAUGUGGUUUUAUUCAGUGUGGCAUUUGAGUUUAAAUCAUUAAUUUAGUAUAGUGCCAAGUAUAUACACUGGAUUUUUUAAGUUACUGGCAAUAAACGGAAGAUGGCUGCAUAUUUUAUUAAUGUCUGAAAUUGUGGUGGCAAUGAAAACAAAUGACCUCAUGUAAUUCCUCAAAUGGCAUAGAUGGGAUUGUUGAUGGUGGACUGCAUUUAGUUGAAGUUCAGGCUUUGCCACUGUCUUCAGACCCACGGACAUCCUUGUGCUGGAGUGAGAAGCCACACCACAGCUACAGAGCGACGUGGAGGGCACUGUGGUGAACCCAGGACAACAACCAACAGACUUUGCCUGGGACAUGCCCAAGCUUCUCCUGAGGAUCCUCUGCUUUCCAAAACAGCCCUGAGAGUUUCUCAGAAAAACCUGAUUGUGCUGCUUGGAACUACAGUUUCAGUCUCUGUAUAGUUCGGAACUAGAGUUUCCUAUUUCACCAAGAAUUCUUGGUAUUUAUUAUUAAAGCCAAAAAUCAGUUUCCCAUACUUUAAAACUUUUUAUUUUACACGAGCUGUACAUCAAAGAUACACGACCAUUUUUUAUGAGAAUUCUGUAGUUUUAACUUCUGGGAUAACAUGUUUUAUGCAUAAUCUUUUUUUUAAAUAGGACUUUCAUUGCGAGUAAGAAUUUGAAAGCAUUGGUGGGGUUGGAGAAAGCAAAAACUUGUGCAGGUAGGUGCAUAAUCCAUUGUUUUUCUAGUUUUCGUUAUAAUUUUAAGCAUAAUGAUUGCUAUUAUCAGAGGCAGUAUAGUAGAGAUAGUAUAAAGUCUUCAGAGCUGCAGGUGACUUCAGAAAGCAUGUAGUUUAAUCCCUUCCUGCACAGGGACAGCCUUGCAAGGUUGAGCAAUUUCCCUCAGCACUGGCAGAUAGCAAAACUAGAAAAGUACUCAGCAUACUGAAUCCAAGUCCAUUGUUUUUUUCCACUCCACUAUCUGGACUGGGAUUGAGAAAAUGUGAUCUUAGCUUUCCACCGACAUUAUGACCUUUCUAAGCCUCCAUCUCCCCAUAUUUGAAAUGACGGGGGGUUAGACUGCAUGAUUUCUAAGGUUCUUUCCAACGCUAGAAUGCUAUGUGUUCUAGCCAGACAGUUGCAUAUUUUUCAUUUAUGGAAGACAUCUAUUUUGAAAAAAUGCAAAAUUCUCUAUUUUGUCUUCUCCUUUUUGAAUGAUGGGUAUAAUUAAAUAAGAUAAUGUGUGUAAAGACAUAAAAAUGCCUGAUACCCAAUAAAUGGUAGCUUUUAAUAUUCUCAUCUAUUCCAAGGAGGCAGGGAUAUUUUCAUUUCUUUGCCAAAAUUUCUUCUGUG
This 6687-nucleotide long non-coding RNA is filed under the name Homo sapiens (human). RNAcentral describes it as "HSALNT0190169". The record is from RNAcentral. Lineage: Eukaryota; Metazoa; Chordata; Mammalia; Primates; Hominidae.